Molecule: ribosomal RNA, 497 nt
Filed under: uncultured bacterium
Lineage: Bacteria
Description: partial 16S ribosomal RNA
Rfam family: Bacterial small subunit ribosomal RNA
Source: RNAcentral
GAUGAACGCUGGCGGCGUGCCUAAUACAUGCAAGUCGAGCGAACAGAUGAGGAGCUUGCUCCUCUGACGUUAGCGGCGGACGGGUGAGUAACACGUGGAUAACCUACCUAUAAGACUGGGAUAACUUCGGGAAACCGGAGCUAAUACCGGAUAAUAUAUUGAACCGCAUGGUUCAAUAGUGAAAGACGGUUUUGCUGUCACUUAUAGAUGGAUCCGCGCCGCAUUAGCUAGUUGGUAAGGUAACGGCUAACCAAGGCAACGAUGCGUAGCCAACCUGAGAGGGUGAUCGGCCACACUGGAACUGAGACACGGUCCAGACUCCUACGGGAGGCAGCAGUAGGGAAUCUUCCGCAAUGGGCGAAAGCCUGACGGAGCAACGCCGCGUGAGUGAUGAAGGUCUUCGGAUCGUAAAACUCUGUUAUUAGGGAAGAACAAAUGUGUAAGUAACUAUGCACGUCUUGACGGUACCUAAUCAGAAAGCCACGGCUAACUACGUG